GCCAGUGUGGCCUAGUGGUUUGAGCACUGGACUAUGACUCUGGAGACCAGGGUUCAAAUCUCGGCUUGGCCA
RNAcentral lists this transfer RNA (72 nucleotides) under Phrynosoma platyrhinos (Desert horned lizard). RNAcentral's name for it is "tRNA-OTHER". The stretch from base 9 to 72 matches the Rfam family "tRNA". Rfam says of the family: Transfer RNA (tRNA) molecules are approximately 80 nucleotides in length. Lineage: Eukaryota; Metazoa; Chordata; Lepidosauria; Squamata; Phrynosomatidae. The record is from RNAcentral.